RNAcentral lists this ribosomal RNA (430 nucleotides) under uncultured bacterium. RNAcentral describes it as "partial 16S ribosomal RNA". It matches the Rfam family "Bacterial small subunit ribosomal RNA", at positions 29 to 507 of the family's 1533-position model. The record is from RNAcentral.
ACGAACGCUGGCGGCAGGCUUAACACAUGCAAGUCGAGCGCCCCGCAAGGGGAGCGGCCGACGGGUGAGUAACGCGUGGGAACGUACCCUUAUCUUCGGGAUAGCCCCGGGAAACUGGAAUUAAUACCGAAUGUGCCCUUUGGGGGAAAGAUUUAUCGGAUAAGGAUCGGCCCGCGUUGGAUUAGCUAGUUGGUGGGGUAAAGGCCUACCAAGGCGACGAUCCAUAGCUGGUCUGAGAGGAUGAUCAGCCACAUUGGGACUGAGACACGGCCCAAACUCCUACGGGAGGCAGCAGUGGGGAAUAUUGGACAAUGGGCGCAAGCCUGAUCCAGCCAUGCCGCGUGAGUGAUGAAGGCCUUAGGGUUGUAAAGCUCUUUCACCGGAGAAGAUAAUGACGGUAGCCGGAGAAGAAGCCCCGGCUAACUUCGUG